This 301-nucleotide ribosomal RNA is filed under the name uncultured bacterium. RNAcentral's name for it is "partial 16S ribosomal RNA". It matches the Rfam family "Bacterial small subunit ribosomal RNA", at positions 509 to 807 of the family's 1533-position model. The record is from RNAcentral.
CAGUAGCCGCGGUAAUACAGAGGAUGCAAGCGUUAUCCGGAAUGAUUGGGCGUAAAGCGUCUGUAGGUGGCUUUUCAAGUCCGCCGUCAAAUCCUCGGGCUCAACCCUGGACAGGCAGUGGAAACUACCAAGCUGGAGUACGGUAGGGGCAGAGGGAAUUUCCGGUGUAGCGGUGAAAUGCGUAGAUAUCGGAAGGAACACCUGUGGCGAAAGCGGCUCACUGGACCAUUUCUGACGCUGAUGCACGAAAGCUAGGGGAGCAAACAGGAUUAGAUACCCCAGUAGUCCCUGUCUCUUAUAC